AAUACGUUCCCGGACCUUGUACACACCGCCCGUCAAGCCAUGGAAGUUGGGAGGACCUGAAGCCAGUUGCCGUAAGGCGCUGUUUAGGGUUAAACCAAUGACUGGGGCU
RNAcentral lists this ribosomal RNA (109 nucleotides) under uncultured bacterium. RNAcentral's name for it is "partial 16S ribosomal RNA". It matches the Rfam family "Bacterial small subunit ribosomal RNA", at positions 1365 to 1482 of the family's 1533-position model. The record is from RNAcentral.